This 345-nucleotide unclassified non-coding RNA is filed under the name soil metagenome. RNAcentral describes it as "partial contains 5.8S ribosomal RNA, internal transcribed spacer 2, and large subunit ribosomal RNA". The stretch from base 1 to 121 matches the Rfam family "5.8S ribosomal RNA", at positions 35 to 154 of the family's 154-position model. The record is from RNAcentral.
GAUGAAGAACGUAGCGAAAUGCGAUAAGUAAUGCGAAUUGCAGAAUUUCCGUGAGACAUCGAAUCUUUGAACGCACAUUGCGCCCACUGGUAUUCCGGUGGGCAUGCCUGUUCGAGCGUCAUUAUCCUCCCUCAAACCCCGGGUUUGGUGUUGGACCCAAGUUGUGUGAACAACUGGUCUCAAAGACAAUGACGGCGUCCGUGGGACCCUCGGUGCAACGAGCUUUUAGGAGCACGCAUCGAGUUGCAAGGACCUUCCGGGCCGGUCUCCUUUACCAUUUUACAAGGUUGACCUCGGAUCAGGUAGGAAUACCCGCUGAACUUAAGCAUAUCAAUAAGCGGAGGA